GGCAGCGGGGGCUUCGGCCUGCCGGCGAGUGGCGAACGGGUGAGUAAUGCAUCGGAACGUGCCCAUGUCGUGGGGGAUAACUACNCGAAAGCGUGGCUAAUACCGCAUACGCCCUGAGGGGGAAAGCGGGGGAUCUUUCGGGACCUCGCGCGAUUGGAGCGGCCGAUGUCGGAUUAGCUAGUUGGUGGGGUAAAGGCUCACCAAGGCGACNAUCCGUAGCUGGUCUGAGAGGAUGAUCAGCCACACUGGGACUGAGACACGGCCCANACUCCUACGGGAGGCAGCAGUGGGGAAUUUUGGACAAUGGGCGCAAGCCUGAUCCAGCCAUGCCGCGUGAGUGAAGAAGGCCUUCGGGUUGUAAAGCUCUUUCGGCCGGGAAGAAAUCGUGGUCUCUAACAUAGGCCAUGGAUGACGGUACCGGACUAAGAAGCACCGGCUAACUACGUGCCAGCAGCCGCGGUAAUACGUAGGGUGCGAGCGUUAAUCGGAAUUACUGGGCGUAAAGCGUGCGCAGGCGGUUUGCUAANACAGGUGUGAAAUCCCCGGGCUUAACCUGGGAACUGCGCUUGUGACUGGCAGGCUAGAGUACGGCANAGGGGGGUGGAAUUCCUGGUGUAGCAGUGAAAUGCGUAGAUAUCAGGAGGAACACCGAUGGCGAAGGCAGCCCCCUGGGCCUGUACUGACGCUCAUGCACGAAAGCGU
RNAcentral lists this ribosomal RNA (702 nucleotides) under Thauera sp. 72. RNAcentral describes it as "bacterial SSU rRNA". It matches the Rfam family "Bacterial small subunit ribosomal RNA", at positions 68 to 762 of the family's 1533-position model. Lineage: Bacteria; Pseudomonadati; Pseudomonadota; Betaproteobacteria; Rhodocyclales; Zoogloeaceae. The record is from RNAcentral.